CAGAGAUUAAUAUAGUAGGGUGAUUAGAUAUCGACUGAGAUUAAAAUUGUCUCUGGUUAGUAGAGUCAUUUACUUGGCUUAGUGAAAUUCAGGAUUAUCUUGUUUAGUAUGGGUUACUUAGUUGAAUUAGUUGAAUAAAAAUGGAAGAAUAAGUAGGUUUAUUUUAUGGGUGGAAUAGUUAUCUUUUUUCUCGGUGAUUGCUUUCAACUGUUUAUUAAGAACAUUGUUAUUUGUGUAAGAGGUAAAUAGUAUGACCUGCCCAAUGAACAGAUAUUUGAACGGCCGCAGCUUUUCGCUGUGCUAAGGUAGCAUAAUAUAUAGUUUUUUAAUUGGGGACUUGUGAAUGGUUUAAUGAAGGGUGUCUAAAAUAAUAAUUAUUUCUGAAAUUAAUUUAGUGGUAAGGAAUCCACUAUUACAAUAUAGGACGGAAAGACCCCAAGAGCUUUACAGUAUUUUAUUUUAUUUGGGGUAAAUGUUAAUAAUUCAUUUAUUUUAAGAUCCUAAUGGAUAAAGGGUAAAGUUACCUUGGGGAUAACUGAGUAAAGAAUGGGGAGAGGUCAAAUUGAUCCAUUUGUUACUACCUCGAUGUUGGCUUGUUGAACCUUUUCGGUGUAGAGGCUGAAUAAAGGAAG
This 632-nucleotide ribosomal RNA is filed under the name Schistosoma spindalis. Its description in RNAcentral is "Schistosoma spindale partial 16S ribosomal RNA". The stretch from base 393 to 632 matches the Rfam family "Bacterial large subunit ribosomal RNA", at positions 2048 to 2575 of the family's 2925-position model. Lineage: Eukaryota; Metazoa; Platyhelminthes; Trematoda; Strigeidida; Schistosomatidae. The record is from RNAcentral.